This 72-nucleotide transfer RNA is filed under the name Loxodonta africana (African savanna elephant). It matches the Rfam family "tRNA". Rfam says of the family: Transfer RNA (tRNA) molecules are approximately 80 nucleotides in length. Their secondary structure includes four short double-helical elements and three loops (D, anti-codon, and T loops). Lineage: Eukaryota; Metazoa; Chordata; Mammalia; Proboscidea; Elephantidae. The record is from Rfam by way of RNAcentral.
GCCCUGGUUGCACAGUGGUUAAAGCAUUUGGUUGCCAACCAGAAGGCUGGGGGUUCAAACCCACCUUGGGAA